Hippocampus comes (tiger tail seahorse) is the source of this 86-nucleotide long non-coding RNA. RefSeq lists it as uncharacterized. Lineage: Eukaryota; Metazoa; Chordata; Actinopteri; Syngnathiformes; Syngnathidae. The transcript has 3 exons. The record is from RefSeq and is a predicted model, not a curated record.
AUGAACAUACACAAGGCGCAUCGGAUUUUAAGGUGCGCUGUGAGCUUGUAAGAAAACGGAAGGCUUUUAGGCGCGCCUUUAAGUGC